AAAAAAAAAAAAAAAAAAAAAAAGAAAAAAUGUUCUGCAGCUGGGCUGCACCUCAAUGAAUGAAUUGGUGCACUGUGAGCCACCAUCAUCUACCCACUGGAUUUCCAUUUACUCCCGGCAUCCACCCCGAACAUAUGAAUCUGCUUAGACAGAGCCUUUUAAGGAGUUGAAAAGAUCAGGUCGGAGAAAAUGGCACAACGCGUGGUUUUCUUUUUGCUGUGGCUCUUUGACCAGACCUUAGCCGGAUUUCCGAAUCAGAUUAACAUCGGGGGACUGUUCAUGCGAUCCACGGUGCAGGAGCACAGCGCGUUCAGGUUUGCUGUCCAACUCUACAACACCAAUCAAAACACCACCGAGAAACCCUUCCACCUCAACUACAACGUCGACAAUCUCGAGUCGUCCAACAGCUUCUCGGUCACCCAUGCAUUUUGCUCCCAGUUCUCCCGUGGGGUGUACGCCAUCUUCGGAUUCUACGACAAGAAGUCCAUGAACACCUUGACCUCCUUCUGCGGUGCUCUGCACACCUCCUUUGUCACGCCCAGUUACCCCACCGAUAACGAGGUGCAGUUUGUCAUCCAGAUGCGGCCGACCCUGAGGGGCGCUGUGCUCAGCCUGCUCUCCUACUACAAGUGGCAGAAGUUUGUUUACCUCUAUGACACCGAUCGAGGUUUUUCCAUCCUGCAGGCUAUCAUGGAGGCAGCAGUGGCCAACAACUGGCAGGUGACUGCUCGCUCUGUCAGCAGCACAACAAACGCAACAGAGUUCAAGCAAGUCAUUGAAGAGAUGGACAGGAGGCAGGAGAAGCGCUAUGUGAUCGACUGCGAGGUGGACCGCAUUGAUACUAUAUUGGAACAGGUUGUGACCGCGGGGAAGAACAGCCAUGGUUACCACUACAUGCUGGUCAAUCUUGGAUUUUCGAAUGUGAGUAUGGGCAAAGUCAUCGCCGGAGGAGCCAACAUUUCAGGGUUUCAGAUCGUCAACCCCGAGAACCCAAUUGUGCAGCAGUUCAAACAGCGAUGGGACCAGCUGGAUGAAAGAGAAUUCCCAGAAGCUCGCAACGCUCCUCUGAAGUACACCUCUGCUCUGACCCACGACGCCAUCCUAGUGAUAGCCGAGGCAUUCAGGUACCUGAGGCGCCAACGUGUAGACGUCUCUCGUCGAGGCAGCGCAGGAGACUGUCUGGCGAAUCCCGCCGUACCCUGGAGCCAGGGCAUAGACAUCGAGAGAGCUCUGAAAACGGUCCAGCUGCAGGGGAUGACCGGGAAUAUCCAGUUUGACAACUAUGGCCGCAGGACCAAUUACACAAUAGAGAUACAUGAAAUGAAAAUGGAUGGGCCAAAGAAGAUUGGUUGCUGGAACGAGUACACAGGAUUUGUAAAUAUUAUGGAUCCUCAGGUCAACAUCUCAGAGGAAAACCGAACCAUUGUGGUCACUACUAUUAUGGAAGCUCCUUAUGUGAUGUACAAGAAAAAGUUUGCGGAUCUGAAGGGGAAUGACAGAUAUGAAGGCUACUGCGUCGAUUUAGCAUCUGAGAUUGCCAAACAUGUUGGAAUUAAGUACAAACUGUCAAUAGUAAUGGACGGCAAGUAUGGAGCCCGAGACCCUGAGACCAAGACGUGGAACGGGAUGGUGGGUGAACUGGUCUAUGGGAGGGCAGAUAUAGCCGUUGCGCCUCUCACCAUUACUCUGGUUCGAGAGGAGGUGAUAGACUUUUCCAAGCCCUUUAUGAGCUUGGGCAUCUCCAUUAUGAUAAAGAAGCCACAAAAAUCCAAGCCUGGCGUUUUCUCCUUCCUGGACCCACUGGCCUAUGAGAUCUGGAUGUGUAUAGUGUUUGCCUACAUUGGUGUGAGCGUGGUACUGUUCCUGGUCAGUCGGUUCAGCCCGUAUGAGUGGAACCUUGAGGAACAGGAUGAGACCAAAGACCCCCAGACUGCCCCCGAUCCUCCCAAUGACUUUGGCAUCUUCAACUCUCUGUGGUUCUCACUGGGCGCCUUCAUGCAGCAGGGCUGCGACAUCUCGCCAAGGUCUCUUUCAGGGCGCAUCGUUGGUGGCGUUUGGUGGUUCUUCACCCUCAUCAUCAUCUCCUCCUACACUGCCAACCUGGCUGCCUUCUUGACAGUGGAGAGAAUGGUGUCACCUAUAGAGAGUGCAGAGGAUCUAGCAAAGCAGACAGAGAUUGCGUACGGCACUCUGGACUCAGGCUCCACAAAAGAGUUUUUCAGGCGAUCCAAAAUAGCGGUGUACGAGAAGAUGUGGUCUUACAUGAAAUCCGCAGAGCCCAAUGUGUUUGUUAAGACCACGCCAGACGGCGUCGCCCGAGUGCGAAAGUCAAAGGGCAAGUUUGCCUUUCUCCUUGAGUCCACGAUGAACGAGUACAUCGAGCAGCGGAAGCCGUGCGACACCAUGAAAGUGGGAGGGAACCUCGACUCCAAAGGCUACGGUGUGGCGACGCCCAAAGGCUCAGCAUUAAGAAAUGCUGUUAACCUGGCAGUUUUAAAACUGAAUGAGCAAGGCCUCUUGGACAAAUUGAAAAACAAAUGGUGGUACGACAAGGGAGAGUGCGGCAGCGGGGGAGGUGACUCCAAGGUCAGCCUCGAUGUCACCACAAUCGGGUACCAUAGUUCAGAGUAAUCGGCAAAGCUGUUAGCAAAGAACGCAACCGAAAUCUGUCCUGAUCCAGACCAAACCAACCAACCUGCUGCACUGAGGCAGAUGAUAAAAGUGUUAGGCUCACCAGAUGGUGUAAUGGCUUGUUUGGAAGCUAAGGAGCUUUUGCCUUAACUAGCUGAAAAACAUCACUUGUAGAGUUAAAAGUCUGAGAAGUACCCGGCCUCUGAGGCUUCUGGAGGUGAAUGUGGCUGCUCUAUAGCUGUGAAAGGAUUAAAUGUGUUCAUUCACCCUGAUGUAAAGGGCAAUUCAAUCAAUAUUAGGGAGUAAUAGAGAUGCAUUCAUCAGAAUUUUCUGGCCAAUUUAUGUUCUGUAGUUUUUGUAAAGCUUUGGCAUGUCAAUAACCUGAUUCUGGUUUUUCGUUAAGAAGUGCAUUGUUAGAACUGCAAUAUAAGAGUAGGAUUGCGAAUAAUAAUUUCAAAAUCGGCUUUAUUAUUUUCAAAGACAGAUUAAUUACAGGGCUGACAUUUUAACUUGUCUUUAGCAUUCUCUGUUCGCAAUUUACUCGGUUAGUGUAGUUAAUAUUACAAAAAAUUGCACUCUGUGUACUAAAAUUAAAAUGUAUUAAUCUGAAAUUUAUUCAACUACUAAACUUUUUGAAAUCCAAAGUGUCCCAUCAAACAGUUCUUGAAAGCUAAAAAGGAUAAAACUGACCAAAUUUACUGUAGCUUGUUCAAUUUUCCUGCGCUUUCACACAUCCUACAACAACCUGCAACUAUUGAAAAUAGCUACUUUCAGGCUUCAGUCAGUAACAGUAUUCCACACCAAAGAGUGUUGUCAGUGAACACACCAUACACACACAAAUGUUUGGUGUUUUCACUGAUUGGGUAAAAGAUAACUGUUUGUGUUUUGGGCAUAGGUUCAACUUAUUUUGAUCACCAUCUGAUUUCACAGUGCGCAGUAAGUUAUAAUAGCGGAUAAAGUCACAUUUACUUAUAGAAAAGAGCUCGUCAACAAUACUACUUCAUAAAAGUCAACAUAAGUGCAGUUUUGGAGAUUUGGUGAAAGCAGCUUUGCUGUACUUAGGUACACAGCUGCUUCAUAUUAGCAGCUCAGGUUAAGAGGAGCCAGUUUUUCUCAAAUGGAAAAUGGCUGCCAGACAGGCAGAUCAUAAAGCGAGGGGAACAGCGGUGUCUUGAGGGGACUAAGCAUUACAGGCAAACGUGAGAACUCUAAUUAAAGGCAACACUUUUUUUAUUGUUUGCUUUUUGUUUGUUUUUUUAAUGAAAGCUACCUGUGGUUUGAAUCCCUUCCAACUGUGACCCCUCAGACCACCAGAUCUCCCCAACUUGUUUUCCAGUGCACCGACCAGUAGUUCAAAGUGUGAAACCACAGUGGAAUGAGUGAGUGAUUGUUGAGUUCUGACAAAAUCCAAUUUAAAUUCAAACUUCAAAUUUAAGUUGUUGUUUUUUUGUUUUUUUUUUUUUUGUAUCAUUCCAGCUUGCAAAAACAGAAUGCUUCAAUGAAAGACCAAAAUUAUUUUUGACAUACUUACACUGAUAUAAGUAUGUAAAUGUCUGACCGUAGCUGAAUUUUUGAAUUUCUCUUCUUGGCAGUCUCAUCUUUACAAGAAAACUCCUCAAUGUAAUCUUUAUCCUCUACACUUUUUUAUUUUUAUUUUAAUCGAGCAACUGCUAACUUUUUAGGUCACUUGUUUCAAGAAGCCCCUCUGCCGCAUACAGCAGUUUCCAUCGCUCUUCUCUAAAGCGCUAUAGAAGUCCAAGAAAUGUACGAUCUGUCUGUUUCAUGAUUUCUCCUCAGGGAAGAUUGGAAAGGUAGACUAAACUAGCCUGGAGCGAUGUGUUUGGAUCAUCCAAUCACCUGGUCUGGGACUGCUAUGAAGUCCUUUAGCAGACAUGAAGAGACGCACGGAUUUGUUUUCAUCCAGCAGCAUGUGCAUCCACCCACACACACGCACACACAUACCGAGUUCCUCCUCACCCUCAGGCCCAACACACCGCAGCCCAGAUUGACUUUCAGACACAGAGCAUGUUGCUGGGUAAUUGCAUUGUUAAUCAAUGUCUUUCCAAGUCAAGACAAUGGUUUGGUCUUCACACUCUGUUUCUCCAGAUUGGCUAGGAAGGAUAUACAGUGGCGUAAUCUUCUUCAGUGCAUUAUCUGUCGCACGGAUCCCUUCUGCGGGGGAGGGAGGGCACAUUGUUUUGAGGUAGUAGUCAGGUCACUCAUUUAUCAAUGUUCUAUGGUUUUGCUUCUAAUAGAACUUUUACAUCUGAUGAAAAAUCUUGCUGAACUACAAAUGACUAAGAAUCAUAAAGUGACUCCUACAUGUGUGCUUUUAUCUAGAUUAGAUUUUUUUUUCUUCUUCUUUCUUACAUCUGAUCAUUUAGAUUCCAGACUAGGCGAAUAAUACACUUUGUUAUGCAGCUGCAGGCAAACACGAGACAAAUAUGCCACUACUCUUGAGCUUCGUCCUGCAGCUAUCAUCUGUUACUAAUCUGUCAAAACAUAAAGGUUUUCUCCGUGAUAAAUGGCAGCAAACCUGCAUAAUUCCGCUUUAAUUUUUGGGCCUCGUUUACUUCCAGAAUUUCUUCUUGUCAGUAUACACCAAGACAAAAGCAUUUUGUUGAAAAACAUAAGGUCUGAAUUUGAUUUUUUCCGCUUAGUAAAGACAAAGCUCCUGACAGAACGACCUGCAGCUGAUAGCCUCUGGUUCUCCCUGCCUAUAUGUUUCUCUGGUUGAUGGUCACAGACUUGCAGAUCGUACUUUCAGUACCUGCUUGUCGCCGUGUUAGCAGCAUCUGCCGAUUACUCGAAGCGAUUAGGUAGGUCCUGGCUUUACACUAGGGGUUACACAGGUGAUAGGUAGAAUGCCUGCUCUUUGUGAUGUUGACUACAGCCAGGUGUCCUGCUUUAUCGCUUUGUAAAGUAUGUAGUAGUUUAAAAGUUGAAUAACAUAAAAUAACAUAAUAUAAUGUUAUUUAUGUUAUUUCCCACGUGAAGAACUCCUGUAAACCUUGCAGUAUUGAAACUCAGUGAACAAGGCAUCUUAGACAAGCUGAAAAACAAAUGGUGGUACGAUAAGGGUGAAUGUGGAACCAAGGACUCUGGAAGUAAGGACAAGACAAGUGCUCUCAGCCUAAGCAAUGUGG
This is an RNA transcript of Gambusia affinis (western mosquitofish), 5777 nucleotides long. It is a transcript of the gene named glutamate receptor, ionotropic, AMPA 3b, with no coding region annotated. Lineage: Eukaryota; Metazoa; Chordata; Actinopteri; Cyprinodontiformes; Poeciliidae. The record is from RefSeq and is a predicted model, not a curated record. The transcript is spliced from 15 exons.